This 529-nucleotide ribosomal RNA is filed under the name Bacillus sp. 22S1C. RNAcentral's name for it is "bacterial SSU rRNA". It matches the Rfam family "Bacterial small subunit ribosomal RNA", at positions 1 to 520 of the family's 1533-position model. The record is from RNAcentral. Lineage: Bacteria; Bacillati; Bacillota; Bacilli; Caryophanales; Bacillaceae.
UUUUAGAGUUUUUUUAUCAUGGCUCAGGAUGAACGCAGGCGGCGUGCCUAAUACAUGCAAGUCGAGCGAAUGGAUUGAGAGCUUGCUCUCAUGAAGUUAGCGGCGGACGGGUGAGUAACACGUGGGUAACCUGCCCAUAAGACUGGGAUAACUCCGGGAAACCGGGGCUAAUACCGGAUAACAUUAUGAACUGCAUGGUUCGAAAUUGAAAGGCGGCUUGGGCUGUCACUUAUGGAUGGACCCGCGUCGCAUUAGCUAGUUGGUGAGGUAACGGCUCACCAAGGCAACGAUGCGUAGCCGACCUGAGAGGGUGAUCGGCCACACUGGGACUGAGACACGGCCCAGACUCCUACGGGAGGCAGCGAGUAGCGGAAUCUUCCGCAAUGGACGAAAGUCUGACGGAGCAACGCCGCGUGAGUGAUGAAGGCUAUCGGGUCGUAAAAGCUCUGUUGUUAGGGAAGAACAAGUGCUAGUGAAUAAGCUGGCACCUUAGCGGACUAACCGAGCACCGAACGCGACGCCAGAUCGG